CUUCGGGUAUUGAGGAUGGCGGACGGGUGAGUAACGCGUAAGGAACUUGCCUCUUGGUCUGGGACAACUGUUGGAAACGACAGCUAAUACCGGAUAUUAUGAGAUUCUCGCAUGGGAAACUUAUGAAAGCUAUAUGCGCCAAGAGAGAGCCUUGCGUUCCAUUAGCUAGUUGGUGGGGUAACGGCCCACCAAGGCGACGAUGGAUAGCCGGCCUGAGAGGGUGAACGGCCACAAGGGGACUGAGACACGGCCCUUACUCCUACGGGAGGCAGCAGUGGGGAAUAUUGGACAAUGGACCAAAAGUCUGAUCCAGCAAUUCUGUGUGCACGAUGAAGGUCUUCGGAUUGUAAAGUGCUUUCAGUUGGGAAGAAGCAAGUGACGGUACCAACAGAAGAAGCGACGGCUAAAUACGUGCCAGCAGCCGCGGUAAUACGUAUGUCGCAAGCGUUAUCCGGAUUUAUUGGGCGUAAAGCGCGUCUAGGCGGAAAAAUAAGUCUGAUGUUAAAAUGCGGGGCUCAACUCCGUAUUGCGUUGGAAACUGUUUUUCUAGAGUACUGGAGAGGUGGGCGGAACUACAAGUGUAGAGGUGAAAUUCGUAGAUAUUUGUAGGAAUGCCGAUGGAGAAGUCAGCUCACUGGACAGAUACUGACGCUAAAGCGCGAAAGCGUG
Molecule: ribosomal RNA, 669 nt
Filed under: uncultured bacterium
Lineage: Bacteria
Description: bacterial SSU rRNA
Rfam family: Bacterial small subunit ribosomal RNA
Source: RNAcentral